UACCACUGUCCCACCUUGGGCUGUGAUCUUGUUAGCUCUUGCAGAUAAACAUGUUUAGGCUUGGUCAGUACUUGGAUGGCAAACCAGUAGAGAAAACCCAUGUGCUGUGGAAC
This 113-nucleotide ribosomal RNA is filed under the name Chelonoidis abingdonii (Abingdon island giant tortoise). Lineage: Eukaryota; Metazoa; Chordata; Testudines; Testudinidae. The record is from RNAcentral.